This is a long non-coding RNA of Raphanus sativus (radish), 2019 nucleotides long. RefSeq lists it as uncharacterized. NCBI's taxonomy places the organism in Eukaryota, Viridiplantae, Streptophyta, Magnoliopsida, Brassicales, Brassicaceae. The transcript is spliced from 2 exons. The record is from RefSeq and is a predicted model, not a curated record.
UAUGGCAAAGGGACAAUGUACUUGUUUUUUUGUUCCGUUUUGGCAAUUUUUUCAAAAAUAAAUGAGAUGGGAAGAGAGUCAAUUCUCACUUUUCUCACCAUCAUCAAUCUCAGAGAUGGUUCAUAUGACUAGUUCGCAACCCAGGUUUCACCAAAUGUUGGCUUUAUUUGGUGGAGAAAAGAUAGCAUUUUGAUAACUAAAGGUCAGAUCUUUGCUUGUCAUAGGAUGAGUGAGAGAUUAUUGGUUGGUGGGGCUUGAUUCAUUCGCUUUCAGAUUUGAUUUUCUUUUUUUCCUGUGGAUUCGUGAAUGCUUAUUUUGAUGAUUGAAAAUUUGAAACUUUUUGUGUGCUACUUGAUUUCAGAGGCGUGCUAGCUAACGUUAAAGACGAGGAACAAAGCCGACUGUAAAUAUGUUCAAGCUUUUGAUUUGGAGAGACUUUAGACAAAAGCUGUUGUGAGCUUUCAGAUGGGUUCGCUCUGUUGUGUGGCUGCAAAAUCAGACAGAUCAUACUCUGCAAGUCCUGACUUUUCCUUUGGCCCUCACGAGCCUUAUUGGAGGACUAACUCAAGUUUCUCUCCACCUUCUUCCUUAUAUGUAUGGUUUAGAUCUGUCUAGCAAUGGACUAAGUGGUGUUAUACCAUCUGAGAAUAGUUAGGCCACAUUGUACUCCCAUACACAACAUUGUGUGUUUGAUUGUGGUUGGCGUUGGCGUCGAGCAUGAAUCAUCCUUGUGGAUGCUUUCAUCAGCUCUGGGAAAAAUGUGUAUAAGUCUUAAAAUGAUUUCAUUAGUAAACUAUUGUGUCCCUGAAUGAAAUGUGCUGAGACACUGAGAAUUCAACAGACCUCGAAGAUCCUCUCUAUUUGGUUAUUGAAACAAACCAAAAGUUUCCAAAGUCAAAGCCACAACAACAACUAAUGUUACCGUUGGCAUUUUCUUAAAGUCUGUUCACUUAUUUAGAAAAAUAUCUUUCUAGAAAAAUAUAUUUCCACUUGUCCAUUUUAUUUUCUUGAUUAUAUGUUAGCUUUGAUAUUGAUAAUCAUUGAAAAUAUAGAUAUGAUAUUUUUUCUUUGAUAAGGAUUGUUUGAGUUUAUCUUUUCAUUAGUUAGUUACAAAUAUUUUCACAAAUAUUUUCACAUAUAUAUAGAUGUGUAUCAAAGCCAAGAAUCAUACCUGAACAAUAGAAGUGGAGACGUGCAGCAGCUUCUUUGGAAAAAGAAAGGUUAGAGUUUUUAUCUUUAUUAUUGUUUAUGUUUCUUUUUCUACAUUAACAUGAGUGGUUUUGUGAAAAGUUUUACUUGUUGAAUUAUACAGUUGCGUUGUGUUCUUCUAGGUUUUCUAUAAUGUUUUAUGUUUCUUUUAACAAUUUGGGUAGCUAUCUCCUGCACUAAAAUGGGAGAUCAAGAAGGAAAAAUUAAAAAUCAAUAUAUUUCUUGGCCGCCCGAAGAAACCAAAACAUUGUUGCGCUUGUUGGUUGAUGGAGUUAAUAAGAAUUGGACUGAUGCCAGCGGUAAAUUCAAUAAACUUACCGUGGAACAAAGAAUACUACCAGAGUUGAACAGAAUCUGUGGAUCUACAAAAACCUUUUCCCAAUACAAAAACAAAACAAAGAUUCUGAAGAAAAGACACAAGAGUUUUGUAGAUCUUCUUCGUUUUAGUUCAGGAUUUGGUUGGGACAAGGAUUUACUGCUCCAGAUGAAGUAUGGAAUGAUUACUUGCAGGGACACAAGAAAGAUAAAUACACGUUUGAAGAUUUUGAAGACCUGGAGAAGAUCUAUGGAAAAAAUAUUGCAAAGGGAAAUAAUACAGUGGGGUUAGGCGAUACCACAGAUGCUCGUACUUCUAUGGCAGAAGAUAAUCAAUGGGAAUAUCAAGAGGCAUAUAUUCCUCAAAGGGUUUGAGGAUUUUAAAAUUUAGUGGAAUUUAGAGAGUUUUGUUAAAUUUUGCUACAGACAGAACAUAGCACUUCUGAUCUCUUUCCGUUUUUUUUGUUUGUUCAAAUCACUUCUGAUUUAUUUCCG